UUGGGCCUACGGGGGGCAGCAGUGGGGAAUAUUGGACAAUGGGGGGAACCCUGAUCCAGCGACGCCGCGUGAGUGAAGAAGUAUUUCGGUAUGUAAAGCUCUAUCAGCAGGGAAGAAAGAAAUGACGGUACCUGACUAAGAAGCCCCGGCUAACUACGUGCCAGCAGCCGCGGUAAUCCGCAGGGGGCAAGCGUUAUCCGGAUUUACUGGGCGUAAAGGGAGCGUAGACGGCGAUGCAAGUCUGACGUGAAAGGCGGGGGCCCAACCCCAGGACUGCUUUGGAAACUGUCUAGC
Molecule: ribosomal RNA, 294 nt
Filed under: uncultured bacterium
Lineage: Bacteria
Description: partial 16S ribosomal RNA
Rfam family: Bacterial small subunit ribosomal RNA
Source: RNAcentral